This 86-nucleotide transfer RNA is filed under the name Puccinia triticina. RNAcentral's name for it is "tRNA-Thr". It matches the Rfam family "tRNA". Rfam says of the family: Transfer RNA (tRNA) molecules are approximately 80 nucleotides in length. RNAcentral also lists the same sequence under 1 other name. The record is from RNAcentral. Lineage: Eukaryota; Fungi; Basidiomycota; Pucciniomycetes; Pucciniales; Pucciniaceae.
GCGUCUGUAGCCUAGUUGGUAAAGGCAGCACUCUAGUAUGUGUCUCAGCAUAGCUGAGGUCGUGAGUUCGACUCUCACCAGAAACA